This 253-nucleotide ribosomal RNA is filed under the name uncultured bacterium. RNAcentral describes it as "partial 16S ribosomal RNA". It matches the Rfam family "Bacterial small subunit ribosomal RNA", at positions 524 to 776 of the family's 1533-position model. The record is from RNAcentral.
UACAGAGGUCUCAAGCGUUGUUCGGAUUCAUUGGGCGUAAAGGGCGCGUAGGCGGCGGGGCAAGUCGGGUGUGAAAUCUCAGAGCUCAACUCUGAAACUGCACUCGAUACUGCUUUGCUAGAGGACUGGAGAGGAGAUUGGAAUUCACGGUGUAGCAGUGAAAUGCGUAGAGAUCGUGAGGAAGACCAGUGGCGAAGGCGGAUCUCUGGACAGUUCCUGACGCUGAGGCGCGAAGGCCAGGGGAGCAAACGGG